UUUUGACGAACUUUCAUAGUCUGGGAGAUAACGUAACAUCCAAAUCACAGCCAAUACCCGUGAUACACAAAAAAAAACAACAGUCUGAUAGCGUUUUUACGCACUUUGCACAGUACAAGAAGUACACGAGCUCGAUCUUCUCAAUCUCAAACUUCACUUCGUCCUUUUUUCCCAGGGAACUCGGCUCGCCCAAAGAAGCGCUUACUACUCUUCCAAGCAGGCCAUAAAUCUGCUGCCAAAGUCAAAAAGUACAGGUUCAACCCAUACGCAAUUGCCCAUUCCAAGAUGGCGGCUUUGGAGGAAACGUCGUCGCAUUGGAAACUGGUAUGCCCAUUGGUCGCAGUAGCUUUUCCAUGGCACUGUGCAAACUCAUUUAGCGUGUAUCAGAAAGGGAAUGAAAAUAAUUUUGGUACUGUACUUACAUACAUGUAGGUUGCACCAAAGGCCGUGGCGAGGAUGACAUCUCCAGCAACGAUGGCUAGCUUGAAGACACGUACCACUUCGAGCGUUUGAAAAAUGGCCGAUAAGGCUACACCGAUGAUGAAGACAAGCGUACCGUCCCAGUGGACUGUGGGAUAGUCGUAGCAGUUCCACUGCACGCCAAGUUACGAAGAGUCCAGCGCAACCCACAAAGCAGAAGAAUAUGGUGAGGUAGCCUACACUUAUCUAUUUUCUCUUUCCUCCCUAUAUUUUCCGGCAAUCUUCCUUUCCAUCUCAACCACCGAAUCACACAUACCGAUGAAAAGUACAGUCUAGUUCCAUAUCAGCUGUCAAUACUUUCGUUAAGCGGCUUAAACACCCACAUGAUGACUACCACACAUAUCCCCAAGAACAGUCCUUCAUUCGCGCCACCUAUAUCACUUAUGAACGCUAUACUCGCCACUGCUGGGUCAUACCGAGGUUUCCCGGCGUCGACCCAUAACAUCAUAAGCGCCGUGAGACCACCGAACCAGACAGUGGUGGCUAGAAUGGGGAGGAGGAUGUAUGGCGCGUGGCCUAUGGAGCGUGUCAGUGUUUGGCUAGGAAGAGCAGGGGAACCAGGGAACGGUGAAGGAAAUGAGAACGGACGUAAGCGGACGAAAAAGGUUGGGCGAAGUUUCUCCUCCUGGAGAGGUUGCUGUUCCUUGUCCAUGUUUGAUCAACUUGACAAAGCUUUUUCCUGAUUUUCUAUCUGUCUGUCCAGGUGUAGGAAGGCAUUCUCGCACCGAAACUCAUAUGCUCAGAAUAUAACAAACAAACAAACACGCACACCUAUAUCCUGAUCUUUGCUGCUAUUUCCCGUCUCACACCCAUGUAAUACUGAUAUGGGCCAAUCCCUUGAUAAUCCAUAAACACGACUGUUCAAGAUCCAUCCUCCUUUGGGCGUUAGCGCCUAAUCCCGGGGAGCAGCCCAUCCUUUCACACCGACUCUCCUGUUCUUUGAACCUUUUAUCACACUGGGAAUGCUCACUACGGAGGCUGUCAGUGGUUGUUAUUUGCUAUGAAAUCCAUGAUAUGGCAUGAUAGCUUAAACCGCAACAUAGUGAUAUGAUCGAUGAUGGUGGGAAACAAAGUCGGAAUGAGUGGAGAGGGUCAUGUUCGGAUAGCCUGAUUAUAGGCCAGUUUAUUCUGCGACAUCAACCUUUUUCAAAAAUC
RNAcentral lists this small RNA (1635 nucleotides) under Cryptococcus neoformans H99. RNAcentral's name for it is "Cryptococcus neoformans var. grubii H99 hypothetical RNA". Lineage: Eukaryota; Fungi; Basidiomycota; Tremellomycetes; Tremellales; Cryptococcaceae. The record is from RNAcentral.